UACGUAGGGUGCGAGCGUUGUCCGGAAUUAUUGGGCGUAAAGAGCUCGUAGGCGGUCUGUCGCGUCGGUCGUGAAAACUUGGGGCUUAACCCUGAGCUUGCGGUCGAUACGGGCAUGACUGGAGUUCGGCAGGGGAGACUGGAAUUCCUGGUGUAGCGGUGAAAUGCGCAGAUAUCAGGAGGAACACCAAUGGCGAAGGCAGCUCGCUGGAACGGUACUGACGCUGAGGCGCGAAAGCGUGGGGAGCAAACAGG
This 254-nucleotide ribosomal RNA is filed under the name uncultured bacterium. RNAcentral's name for it is "partial 16S ribosomal RNA". It matches the Rfam family "Bacterial small subunit ribosomal RNA", at positions 524 to 776 of the family's 1533-position model. The record is from RNAcentral.